AUGAACGCUAGCUACAGGCUUAACACAUGCAAGUCGAGGGGCAGCAUGGCUUAGCUUGCUAAGGCCGAUGGCGACCGGCGCACGGGUGAGUAACACGUAUCCAACCUGCCGUCUACUCUUGGACAGCAUUCUGAAAAGGAAGAUUAAUACAAGAUGGCAUCAUGAGUCCGCAUGUUCACAUGAUUAAAGGUAUUCCGGGUAGACGAUGGGGAUGCGUUCCAUUAGAUAGUAGGCGGGGUAACGGCCCACCUAGUCUUCGAUGGAUAGGGGUUCUGAGAGGAAGGUCCCCCACAUUGGAACUGAGACACGGUCCAAACUCCUACGGGAGGCAGCAGUGGGGAAUAUUGGGCAAUGGGCGCAAGCCUGACCCAGCAACGCCGCGUGAAGGAAGAAGGCUUUCGGGUUGUAAACUGCUUUUGUCAGGGACGAAAAGGAUCGUGAUAAUACCAUGGUCUGCUGACGGUACCUGAAGAAUAAGCACCGGCUAACUACGUG
Molecule: ribosomal RNA, 495 nt
Filed under: uncultured bacterium
Lineage: Bacteria
Description: bacterial SSU rRNA
Rfam family: Bacterial small subunit ribosomal RNA
Source: RNAcentral